ACCUUGCUAGCUCAAUCUAUAGAGCAUGAGACUCUUACUUCUAGUCGUUCCCUUUGCAGUUUAUCAUCUCAAGGUUGGGUGUUCAAGCCCCCUCUAGGGCU
Sphaerobolus stellatus SS14 is the source of this 101-nucleotide non-coding RNA. NCBI's taxonomy places the organism in Eukaryota, Fungi, Basidiomycota, Agaricomycetes, Geastrales, Sphaerobolaceae. The record is from the annotation of a GenBank genome assembly.